GCGCGAGUGGCGGAAUUGGUAGACGCCCCAGAUUUAGGUUCUGGUGCCUUCGGGCGUGUGGGUUCGAGUCCCACCUUGCGCA
Molecule: transfer RNA, 82 nt
Filed under: Actinomycetaceae bacterium
Lineage: Bacteria; Bacillati; Actinomycetota; Actinomycetes; Actinomycetales; Actinomycetaceae
Description: tRNA-Leu
Rfam family: tRNA
About the family: Transfer RNA (tRNA) molecules are approximately 80 nucleotides in length. Their secondary structure includes four short double-helical elements and three loops (D, anti-codon, and T loops).
Source: RNAcentral